CAGCACCUCAAGUGGUCAGGAUGAUUAUUGGGCCUAAAGCAUCCGUAGCCGGCGCUGUAAGUUUUCGGUUAAAUCUGUACGCUCAACGUACAGGCUGCCGGGAAUACUGCAGCGCUAGGGAGUGGGAGAGGUAGAUGGUACUCGGUAGGAAGGGGUAAAAUCCUUUGAUCUAUUGAUGACCACCUGUGGCGAAGGCGGUCUACCAGAACAUGUCCGACGGUGAGGGAUGAAAGCUGGGGGAGCAAACCGGAUUAGAGACCCGUGUAGUCC
Molecule: ribosomal RNA, 270 nt
Filed under: uncultured archaeon
Lineage: Archaea
Description: partial 16S ribosomal RNA
Rfam family: Archaeal small subunit ribosomal RNA
Source: RNAcentral